UUGACUCUGCGGGACACGUGAUUGCGUCGGCACACGGGGCGAGCCAACAUUCUACGAACGGGAGCUUGGCAACGUGGCGUGGAUGUGUUAGCCCUUACGGGCAAGACGGAAGCGCCCAGCCGGCACCCACCUGCUUACGCAGGUUCGUACCCACUGACCACACGAUCUUGCGGAGUCAUA
This 180-nucleotide non-coding RNA is filed under the name Caldilineaceae bacterium. RNAcentral's name for it is "6S RNA". It matches the Rfam family "6S / SsrS RNA". Rfam says of the family: E. coli 6S RNA was the first non coding RNA to be sequenced, but its function was unknown until recently. Lineage: Bacteria; Bacillati; Chloroflexota; Caldilineae; Caldilineales; Caldilineaceae. The record is from RNAcentral.